UUAGGAAUCUUGCACAAUGGGCGAAAGCCUGAUGCAGCGACGCCGCGUGAAGGAUGACGGCCUUCGGGUUGUAAACUUCUUUUAUCAGGGAAGAAAAAAAUGACGGUACCUGAUGAAUAAGCCCCGGCUAACUACGUGCCAGCAGCCGCGGUAAUACGUAGGGGGCGAGCGUUGUCCGAAUUUACUGGGCGUAAAGCGCGCGUAGGCGGACUUUUAAGUCGGUGGUGAAAUCUCAGGGCUCAACCCUGAAACUGCCGCCGAAACUGGGAGUCUUGAGGUAUGGAGAGGGAAGUGGAAUUCCUGGUGUAGCGGUGAAAUGCGUAGAUAUCAGGAGGAACACCCGUGGCGAAGGCGGCUUCCUGGCCAUAAUCUGACGCUGAGGUGCGAAAGCUAGGGGAGCGAACGGG
RNAcentral lists this ribosomal RNA (407 nucleotides) under uncultured bacterium. RNAcentral describes it as "bacterial SSU rRNA". It matches the Rfam family "Bacterial small subunit ribosomal RNA", at positions 355 to 776 of the family's 1533-position model. The record is from RNAcentral.